This is a non-coding RNA of Equus caballus (horse), 4144 nucleotides long. The record is from RefSeq and is a predicted model, not a curated record. NCBI's taxonomy places the organism in Eukaryota, Metazoa, Chordata, Mammalia, Perissodactyla, Equidae.
CCCAGGAUCCGAACCGGCAAACCCCGGGCCACUGAAGCAGGACGUGUGACUUAACUGCUGUGCCACCAGGCCCAAUAACAUUUUCUGAGCACUUACUAUGGACUAGGCUCAGAGGAAGGUGAGGUCAGAUACUUCAUGUAUUUCCUCUUAAUCCUAUCAACAACUCUAUUACCCCAACUGUACAGAUGAGAAGACAGGCCUAGAAGUAAGGGGAACUUGCUCAAGCACACCCUCUUGGGAUCUCUGCACUUAAGCCUGACCCUUUCAUCAGACAGUGUCACACUCACCCUUGCUCUGUUCCUACGCUGGUGGGCAGUGUGUCACCCCCUCACCUUGUCUACCUCCAUUCUACCAAUCCUUUGAGGUUCAGCUUAAACAUCCCCUCCUUCAGGAGAACUGUCCUGACUCCUCACUGUGGCUCUGACCCUUUCUCUGAACGCCUUAAUUAGAUCCUGUGUAUCAAAGGUCACGCCUAAGCCCAGUGGUUAAGACAUGGUAGACACUCAAACUUCGCUUUGUUCCUACUUCCCUUCCUGACUGUCUUUAUGGUCAGAGGUGUGAAAUUUGCCACUCGAUUAUACACUGUCUUAUUUGUUUGUUGUUGUUCUAUAUGCAUUGGACUUGUUUCCUCAACUAGAUUAGCAGCUUAAGGAACAGUGCUUUAUAUUUAUAAAUUACAUAUGUUGAUAUAUGUAUAAGUUAUCUUUAUAUCUUUCAAUACUUGCUUGAUAAUUGUUUGAGUGGUUCUCAACUGCAGCAUGCAUCAGAAUUACCUGGAGGGCUUGCUAAAAUAGAUCACUGAGUCCCUCCCCCAGAGUUUUCUGAUUCAGCAGGCCCGGAAGGGGGCUGAGAACAUGCAUUUCUGACCCGUUCCCAGAAGGUACUGAUGCUGCUGGUCCAGGAGCCACACUUUGAGAAACAGUGGUUAGAAGUUUAACGUAUCACAGUGCUUAGGAGCAUGUAGGCUGAGUCUGAGUCCCACCGCUGCCACUCACGGGCUGUGUGAUCUUGGGCAUGUUAACCUAUUUGAGCUUGUUUCCUCAUCUGUGAAAAAUGAGGAUAAUAACAGUACGCACAUCAGAAUUGUUGUGAGGAUUAAAUGCAAUAAUGAAUGCAAUGUGCUUAGCACUAUCCUUGACACACUGAAAGGAUUCAGUAAAUGCUUCUAUUAUCCCUGGAAAGGCUGGCACAACAGCAGGCCUAAGUACGCACUGAACCCAGCCUCAGAAUUCCUUCUCAGGCUGAUAGAAAACUUCUUUUGAAUUUGUAAGCAGAGAGAGUGAAGGGUGUCACUGAAGCAUGACAUCUAUAAUUAACAGCUUUUGAAAUUAAGCCAGACUAUUAAAAAGCACAACAUAAAGGGCCUUUAGAAAUGCCCCCGCCUCUGCCCCCUGAGUAUGCUGGCUGUAAAUGCCCAGGUGGACAAAAAACAAGUGUAUUUUUAAAAUGCAGGGGCUGUCUUCGGGGUACCUCCUUCACAUCUUCCCCUGCUGAGGGAUGCUGAGGAUGGUAUCUUGGCCUCUGAGAGCUUGUUGUUGCUGGAGUCACUCAGGCAUCUGGGCUAAUGGGUUAGCAGACACAAGCAGAGCCCAUCAUUCAAUAAUUAAUUAGCUGCAGUCACGGGAAGACAAACUCCCUGGAGCAGUCAGGACAACCACCACCCUCCUCAAUUCUAGUUUCAAAGCACCCAGGCCCCUGCUGCUCCCUCCCAGCACCAAGAGCCUCUCCCCCCAAAGCAAGAUCUCUAUUUCCCCUCAGGGUCUAUCUGAGCAGAUACACUGGCUGACAUUCUCUUGAGAAAGCCCAAGAGGGAAUACACAGACAAGAGAAUUUUCAGACCUUGUCUUACAGUGCUCCAGGGCGAGAGGCAGGGGAUCCAGGGAUCCAUGGAUGGUGUGGCACUAACCUCGUCCCCGUAAUAUAGGAGACAAGGGUCAUGGCCCUUAUCUCUCUGUAAACCACUAAUCCCGGGAAUGUGGUGCGUUCAACGCAAAGUUGAAUGAGAUCAUUUCUGGGAGCAUUAGUAUGUAGCAGAGGCUGCCGGCUGGUUGUAGGGAGAAGCUGCUACCUUUGGAAGCCCCUCUCUUCCACUCCUCCCUUUCACAGAAGAGCACCACCACCUCCCCCCAUCCAGUGGUACCCUCCCCUAAUUCCCAGAAAAAGAACGACCCUCCGCCCCCCACCCCCAGCCCCGAAACACACACACGUACACCAUUUUUACUCCUACCCGCAAUUUCCUAAACAAAACCAUCACAGCCAAGUGGUGUCUCCACACACUCCGGUUGGGGUACCAUCCCUAGCGGCCCGGCGCAGGGGGUUCACUCCCAACGCCCUGGCCAGGCCCUGGCUCCAGCGUAAAGGCAGAGCGAGAAGGGGUGUGUGCACGGGAGGCUGGCGGGGAGCCGACCGCUCAGGAGGUGAGGAGAGGCUGCUGUCCCCGCACCUGGAGUCACCACCAGCUGCCAGAUGAAGACGAAGGCAAGAGGUUCCUCAAAGGGAAGAGCCACAAGGUGUCUGCCCUCUUCUCACCAUUGCUCGUUGCUCAGUCUCUCACUCUUUCCGUUCUCUCCCCUCCAUCCCUCUCCUCCCUCUUUGUCUGCUGCCUUCUCACCUCCGCCUUUUGGAACACCCUGCCUUCUGGAGCCCGGCUCGGACGCCGCAGCGGUUAGCUCCCCGGGGGACUCCGGCCCCGCGCCCCGGCCCGGCCCCCUCCCCUGCCCGACCCUCUCGGCUCCGGGUCUUACCCAGAAGAGCAGGUUGAAGCCGAGCAGCAGACAUGAUGACUAGAGCUGCAGAACAUUUUGUGACUGUGAGGAAAGGCCAAAAGAAUUGCAGACCUGCCAGCCAGGAGAUUGUUGAACUACCGAACCAAUGCCAGCGGCCACCUACCUCCAGAUUUCUUGUUAUGAAAGAAAAAUAGCCCUUGUUUUGUUUGACUUUUAUAUUUUGUUACUGUAGCUGAUGAUAUUUCUGACAUGGGAAGACAAUAAAUUCAUAUUUGGAUCUGUUGAGUUUUAGAUCUGAUGGAAAAUCCAGAUGGAGUGGUCCAGGAGACAGAUGGAAAUAUGAUUGGGAUUCUGGAGAGAGGUUCGGGCUGUAAGUUUAGGUUAAAGAUGCAUCAGUAAAUGGUGAUAAUAGAAACCAGUGGUCUUCAAACUUUUGCCCACACAUCCCCUAAAAGAAUUAUGAAAAAAUAUAUUCUCCCUUGCACAUUUUCCCCAAUAUUUUAUUGUGAAUAUUUUCAAAUGUAAAGUUGAAAUAAUUGAGCAGUGAACACCAUAUCGCACCACCUAGAUUCUACUAUAAACCUUUUGCUUUAGUUACAUUACUUAUCGCUACAUCUGUCCAUUUGUCAAUCGAUCUUAUUUUUUUAUGCAUUUCCAAAUAAAUUUUAGACAUCAACACAUUUCACCUCUAAACUCUUCAGCAUGCAUAACAUUAACUAGAGUUCAAAUAUUUGUUUAUAGUUUUUCUUUUUUUCUGAGAUAAAAUUUACCUCAAUGAAAUGUACACAUUUUAAGCAUACUGUUUAAUGAUUUUUGAGAAAUGCUUUUGCCUUUCUAGCCCCAAACCCAAUUAAGGUAUACAACAUUACUGUCACCCGAGAAAGUUCCUUUGUUCCCUUUCCCAGUCAAUCCAUGCCCCGACCUUCCUAGAGACAACCACUGUUCUGCUUUUUUUUCAGUAUAGAUUAAUUUCGUCUCUUCUAUAAUGUCAUAUAAAUGGAAUUGUACAGUAUUUACCCUCACACAUUUUUAAGUUGACAUACAAAAUCCUCUAUUAUAAAUUUGAACGUUUGCAAAAUAUGUCACUUCUGAUGUAUUUUAAAUAUUGACAUUUUAAAAGAAAAUUAUCACAUCACUCAUUUGAAUGCAUCCAGUAGAAACUAAGUGCCAGUGUGAUCUGCCACCCACCAUUAUUCAUUUAAAGAAAUACGUGGACAAGAUCCUCUUUAACAGGGUGAGAGUUUUACAUCUUUCCCUUUUCUCCGUGAGCUUGUAUUUCCAUUCCACUCUUCCCAUGAAAUGUAAUCCUAAAGUAACGUAUUUAUAUGCUUAAGAAAUUUUUCUUGAAUGUCCUUUUAUGCUUAUCUGAACAAAUAUUACUAUAUAUUUAUUAAAAUAAAUUACAUUUUUCCUCCUGA